RNAcentral lists this long non-coding RNA (679 nucleotides) under Linum usitatissimum (flax). RNAcentral describes it as "long non-coding RNA (LUSI_LNC006262)". Lineage: Eukaryota; Viridiplantae; Streptophyta; Magnoliopsida; Malpighiales; Linaceae. The record is from RNAcentral.
AUGUUAACUUAUAAACUAUGGUUAAAAAAUAACUGAAUAGGUAGUUCAUAAUAAAAAAUAUCUCAAUAUACUAAUACAUAACUAUAUUCAUAAUCAAAGAAUGGACAAUAAUGGAUAGUUGAAACGUGAAACAAAAAAAGAUCUAAAUUUAUUAAAUUUGUCUAUCAAGAAAAAUUUACAAGAGUUACAAAAAGAUUUAUACCAAAAGAAAAAACAAACCGAAUCAAAUCAAAUCAAAUUUAGCGAAAUCGAACUUCAUAUGCUAUUUUCUUCCUCAUAGUCUUCUUCUUUCUAUUGCUCAUCUUCAAAUAUCUUCCCAAUAACCUAUACAUAAACAAAUCAAAUCAAAAAAUCAAAUCUAGCAAAAUCUUUCUUUGAAAAACGUAUCGAAGAAAAAGAAGAUGAACAGAUUAAGAACUAAAAAUAAAAAAAUCAUAUCUAGCCAAAUCUUUCUUUACCCACUCGGAUCUGUGGAAGGGAAAUUCAUACCUUAUCGUAUCUUUUCUUACACCGUCGCCAUUGUUGUGUUGCUAUCACUCGAAGAGAAAAGAUAUUAUAGAAAAAAGAAAAAAAACAUGGGAGAAAAGAGAGAACGGGAGAGAAAAAGAAAGAGAGAAGAUGUGUGGAGGUGGCAUAGAAGAGGGAUGAGAGGGAAAGUUGUCGUUAGGGAGAAUUUUUA